Molecule: ribosomal RNA, 1005 nt
Filed under: Drosophila melanogaster (fruit fly)
Lineage: Eukaryota; Metazoa; Arthropoda; Insecta; Diptera; Drosophilidae
Description: eukaryotic LSU rRNA
Rfam family: Eukaryotic large subunit ribosomal RNA (bases 554-1005)
Source: RNAcentral
ACCCCAUACCCAACCAGAUUAUUAUGAUACAUAAUGCUUAUAUGAAACUAAUACAUUUCGCAACAUUUAUUUUAGGUAUAUAAAUACAUUUAUUGAAGGAAUUGAUAUAUGCCACUAAAAUGGUGUAUUUUUAAUUUCUUUCAAUAAAAACAUAAUUGACAUUAUAUAAAAAUGAAUUAUAAAACUCUAAGCGGUGGAUCACUCGGCUCAUGGGUCGAUGAAGAACGCAGCAAACUGUGCGUCAUCGUGUGAACUGCAGGACACAUGAACAUCGACAUUUUGAACGCAUAUCGCAGUCCAUGCUGUUAUGUACUUUAAUUAAUUUUAUAGUGCUGCUUGGACUACAUAUGGUUGAGGGUUGUAAGACUAUGCUAAUUAAGUUGCUUAUAAAUUUUUAUAAGCAUAUGGUAUAUUAUUGGAUAAAUAUAAUAAUUUUUAUUCAUAAUAUUAAAAAAUAAAUGAAAAACAUUAUUAUAUUAUUAUAACAUUAUCAUUAUUAUUAUUAUUAUACACAAUCCCGGGGCGUUCUAUAUAGUUAUGUAUAAUGUAUAUUUAUAUUAUUUAUGCCUCUAACUGGAACGUACCUUGAGCAUAUAUGCUGUGACCCGAAAGAUGGUGAACUAUACUUGAUCAGGUUGAAGUCAGGGGAAACCCUGAUGGAAGACCGAAACAGUUCUGACGUGCAAAUCGAUUGUCAGAAUUGAGUAUAGGGGCGAAAGACCAAUCGAACCAUCUAGUAGCUGGUUCCUUCCGAAGUUUCCCUCAGGAUAGCUGGUGCAUUUUAAUAUUAUAUAAAAUAAUCUUAUCUGGUAAAGCGAAUGAUUAGAGGCCUUAGGGUCGAAACGAUCUUAACCUAUUCUCAAACUUUAAAUGGGUAAGAACCUUAACUUUCUUGAUAUGAAGUUCAAGGUUAUGAUAUAAUGUGCCCAGUGGGCCACUUUUGGUAAGCAGAACUGGCGCUGUGGGAUGAACCAAACGUAAUGUUACGGUGCCCAAAUAACAACU